UUUACAGUAAAUCAUUAUUUGUAUUAUAAUUUAUAAUACAAAUAAUUUUAUUUGCUUUUAUAAUUUAUUUUAAAUUGAUUUCUACUUGUCAAUAGUCAAUACGUCUACGUCAUGUCAUUAAAUAGAUAUAUUCUUUUUAAUUACUGUAUUACGAUUAUUACGUAACAUGUAUUUAUAAUUAAUGAGUAAUGAAAUUCUUGUUUAUUGUAUAUUCAAUCUAAGAUAUUUACAUACAAUUUACUUUAAUUUUUUUUCUGAUUGAUUACGAAUGUUACGAUCUUUCAACAUUAAAUAGUACCUAGUCCAUAGAUAAUAAUAUACAACUAGAUAGUAGAUAAAUUCUUACCAUUACAAACAAGCAUCAAGAUUGCCCUUUGAUCCAUAGACGUAGUAUAUAAUAUAUUAUGUCUAUGCUUUGAUCAUAGACCUUAAUUACCUUAUACUCAUUUUCAGUAGCGGUUUGAGUCUUCAAAACUCAAGAAGCAAGUUUCAAAACAACUAGCCCACCCACCAACUAAAUUUACUAGGAUCAAUCUUAUACUAUCUGUGCACUCUUGAAAGAGUGGUGCGCCUGCACUGAUGAGAGGAGAUGAUGUGGUCAAGCCUGCCAGUGUCGCAGGUGGCUCGAUCAAAGGCCUCAGCGUCCUUAGAGAAAUUGGCUUUCUCCCCAACAACAGAGACCUUUAUUGGGCCAUCCCUUGUCUCUAGCGGCACACGAAA
This is a long non-coding RNA of Rhopalosiphum padi (bird cherry-oat aphid), 720 nucleotides long. RefSeq lists it as uncharacterized. The transcript is spliced from 2 exons. The record is from RefSeq and is a predicted model, not a curated record. Lineage: Eukaryota; Metazoa; Arthropoda; Insecta; Hemiptera; Aphididae.